Molecule: ribosomal RNA, 421 nt
Filed under: uncultured archaeon
Lineage: Archaea
Description: partial 16S ribosomal RNA
Rfam family: Archaeal small subunit ribosomal RNA
Source: RNAcentral
CUACGGGGUGCUGCAGUUAGGAAUAUUCUGCAAUGCGCGCAAGCGUGACAGAUUGAGCCAGAGUGCGUUUCUAUUGAAACGCUUUUGCCAAAUGUAAAAAGUUUGGCGAAUAAGGACUGGGUAAGACUAGUGCCAGCCGCCGCGGUAAUACUAGCGGUCCAAGUUGCAGCCAUAUUUAUUGGGUCUAAAACAUCCGUAGCUUGCUUAAUAAGUUUCUUGUGAAAUCUUAUCUCUCAAAGGUAGGGCGGGCAGGAAAUACUGUUGAGCUAGAGACUGGAAGGCGUGAGAAGUACGACCAAAGUAGCGGUAAAAUGCGUUAAUCUUGGCCGGACUUACAAUAGCGAAGGCAUCUCACGAGGACAGUUCUGACAGUAAGGGAUGAAGGCUAGGGGCGCAAAACGGAUUAGAUACCCGAGUAGUC